GGGGAUGUAGCGCUAAUUGGUAGAGCAGCGGACUUCUAAUCUGAUGGUUAUGGGUUCGAAUCCCAUUAUCUCCACCA
This 77-nucleotide transfer RNA is filed under the name Pantoea agglomerans. RNAcentral describes it as "tRNA-Arg". It matches the Rfam family "tRNA". From Rfam's summary of the family: Transfer RNA (tRNA) molecules are approximately 80 nucleotides in length. Their secondary structure includes four short double-helical elements and three loops (D, anti-codon, and T loops). Further hydrogen bonds mediate the characteristic L-shaped molecular structure. tRNAs have two regions of fundamental functional importance: the anti-codon, which is responsible for specific mRNA codon recognition, and the 3' end, to which the tRNAs corresponding amino acid is attached (by aminoacyl-tRNA synthetases). tRNAs cope with the degeneracy of the genetic code in two manners: having more than one tRNA (with a specific anti-codon) for a particular amino acid; and 'wobble' base-pairing, i.e. permitting non-standard base-pairing at the 3rd anti-codon position. Lineage: Bacteria; Pseudomonadati; Pseudomonadota; Gammaproteobacteria; Enterobacterales; Erwiniaceae. The record is from RNAcentral.